UUUGAGGAGUGAGUUGUUGAUUGCUUGAGGACAAGCAAAAGUUUAAGUAUGGGGUAAUUUGAUAAGCAUCAUACUACACAUGUUUUCAUGCCCGAUUGUUUACAUUUUUAUGUAUGAUUAUCCCAUUUUAUGCUAGAAUCACCUAUCUUUUGUUUCCUUUCUCGUUUCAGGUCAUUUUUUAAGGACACCAUCAAUAAUC
Molecule: long non-coding RNA, 199 nt
Filed under: Ricinus communis (castor bean)
Lineage: Eukaryota; Viridiplantae; Streptophyta; Magnoliopsida; Malpighiales; Euphorbiaceae
Description: long non-coding RNA (RCOM_LNC002362)
Source: RNAcentral